This 1036-nucleotide long non-coding RNA is filed under the name Bos indicus x Bos taurus (hybrid cattle). Its description in RNAcentral is "lncRNA (ENSBIXG00000006249.1)". The record is from RNAcentral. Lineage: Eukaryota; Metazoa; Chordata; Mammalia; Artiodactyla; Bovidae.
GUCCGUGUGAACUGUGGAAUGAGGUUCGUGACAUUGAACAGGAGACAGGAAUCAAGACCAUCCCCAUGGAAAAGAAAUGCCACAAAGCAAAAUGGCUGUCUGGGGAGGCCUUACACAUAGCUGUGAGAAGAAGAGAAGCGAAAACAAAGGAGAAAAGGAAAGAUACACACAUCUGAAUGCAGAGUUCCAAAGAAUAGCAAGAAGAGAUAAGAAAGCCUUCUUCAACGAUCAAUGCAAAGACAUAGAGGAAAAGCACAGAAUGGGAUAGACUAGGGAUCUCUUCCAGAAACUCAGAGAUACCAAAGGAACAUUUCAUGCAAAGAUGGGCUCGAUACAGGACAGAAAUGGUAUGGACCCAACAGAAGCAGAAGAUAUUCAGAAGAGAUGGCAAGAAUACACAGAAGAACCUUACAAAAAAGAUCUUCAUGACCCAGAUAAUCACGAUGGUGUGAUCCCUGACCUAGAGCCAGACAUCCUGGAAUGUGAAGUCAAGUGGGCCUUAGAAAGCAUCACUACGAACAAAGCUAGUGGAGGUGAUGGAAUGCCAGUGGAGCGCUUCCAAAUCCUGAAAGAUGAUGCAGUGAAAGUGCUGCACUCAAUAUGCCAGCACAUUUGGAAAACUCAGCAGUGGCCACAGGACUGGAAAAGGUCCGUUUUCAUUCCGAUCCCAAAGAAAGGCAAUGCCAAAGAAUGCUCACACGACUGCACACUUGCACUCAUCUCACACGCUAGUAAAGUCAUGCUCAAAAUUCUCCAAGCCAGGCUUCAGCAAUAUGUGCACCGUGAACUUCCUGAUGUUCAAGCUGGUUUUCGAAAAGGCAGAGGAACCAGAGAUCAAAUUGCCAACCUCUGCUGGAUCAUGGAAAAAGCAAGAGAGUUCCAGAAAAGCAUCUAUUUCUGCUUUAUUGACUAUGCCAAAGCCUUUGACGGUGUGGAUCACAGUAAACUGUGGAAAAUUCUGGAAGAGAUGGGAAUACCAGACCACCUGACCUGCCUCUUGAGAAAUCUGUAUGCAGGUCAGGAAGCAACAGUUCGA